AUGUCAAUCAUUUCAAAUAAACAUUCUUUUUAUUGUACUGAAGAUGUGAAAUGGCUGCUUGGUGGAGGUGCCAGGAUUUAUGAAUUAAGCUAUCUGAUGAUGACAGUGCUUAUAUUUUAUAGUUUUACAUUUUUUAUUUAUCUGGAGGCAUCGCGUGCGCCCGCCGUUUAUGACCGCCGGAUCGAUUCACCACAGACGGCGGUGAUGCAGACCAGGAACGCAUCGGACAUGGACGCUGUGCGGAAACUCGGCGCUGCCAGCGCCACCUCGGUGAGGAGGAAGACGCUCUGCGACAUCACCAACCUAAGGCGGCCGGUGGUGGCGGCAGGACGGGUUGAGGUACGCGGACGGCGUGGAUGGGAUCGCGUGGUUGGUCAAGGCAAGAUUUGCUGA
This 393-nucleotide ribosomal RNA is filed under the name Triticum aestivum (bread wheat). RNAcentral's name for it is "partial small subunit ribosomal RNA". The record is from RNAcentral. Lineage: Eukaryota; Viridiplantae; Streptophyta; Magnoliopsida; Poales; Poaceae.